GCCUCGGUGGUGAAAUUGGUAGACGCAGGGGACUCAAAAUCCCCCGCCGCAAGGCGUGCCGGUUCGAUUCCGGCCCGAGGCACCA
Molecule: transfer RNA, 85 nt
Filed under: Rugamonas sp. A1-17
Lineage: Bacteria; Pseudomonadati; Pseudomonadota; Betaproteobacteria; Burkholderiales; Oxalobacteraceae
Also listed under: 10 other names
Description: tRNA-Leu
Rfam family: tRNA
About the family: Transfer RNA (tRNA) molecules are approximately 80 nucleotides in length. Their secondary structure includes four short double-helical elements and three loops (D, anti-codon, and T loops).
Source: RNAcentral